RNAcentral lists this ribosomal RNA (17 nucleotides) under Calonarius cobaltinus. RNAcentral describes it as "Cortinarius cobaltinus partial 28S ribosomal RNA". The record is from RNAcentral. Lineage: Eukaryota; Fungi; Basidiomycota; Agaricomycetes; Agaricales; Cortinariaceae.
UAAUAUGACCUCAAAUC